GUGAGUAACACGUGGGUGAUCUGCCCUGCACUCUGGGAUAAGCCUGGGAAACUGGGUCUAAUACCGGAUAGGACGCUCUCUUGUAGCACAUGGGCGGGGGUAGAAAAGGUUAACUGGUGCAGGAGGGGCCCGCGGCCAAUCAGCUUGUUGGUGGGGUAAUGGCCUACCAAGGCCACGACCGGUAGCCGGCCUGAGAAGGGCGACCGGCCACACUGGGACUGAGACACGGCCCAGACUCCUACGGGAGGCAGCAGUGGGGAAUAUUGCACAAUGGGCGAAAGCCUGAUGCAGCGACGCCGCGUGAGGGAUGACGGCCUUCGGGUUGUAAACCUCUUUCAGCAGGGACGAAGCGAGAGUGACGGUACCUGCAGAAGAAGCACCGGCCAAACUACGUGCCAGCAGCCGCGGUAAUACGUAGGGUGCGAGCGUUGUCCGGGAAUUACUGGGCGUAAAGAGCUCGUAGGCGGUUUGUCGCGUCGUCCGUGAAAACUUGGGGCUCAACCCCAAGCUUGCGGGCGAUACGGGCAGACUUGAGUACUGCAGGGGAGACUGGAAUUCCUGGUGUAGCGGUGAAAUGCGCAGAUAUCAGGAGGAACACCGGUGGCGAAGGCGGGUCUCUGGGCAGUAACUGACGCUGAGGAGCGAAAGCGUGGGUAGCGAACAGGAUUAGAUACCCUGGUAGUCCACGCCGUAAACGGUGGGCGCUAGGUGUGGGUUUCCUUCCACGGGAUCCGUGCCGUAGCUAACGCAUUAAGCGCCCCGCCUGGGGAGUACGGCCGCAAGGCUAAAACUCAAAGGAAUUGACGGGGGGCCCGCACAAGCGGCGGAGCAUGUGGAUUAAUUCGAUGCAACGCGAAGAACCUUACCUGGGUUUGACAUAUACCGGAAAGCCGUAGAGAUACAGCCCCCCUUGUGGUCGGUAUACAGGUGGUGCAUGGCUGUCGUCAGCUCGUGUCGUGAGAUGUUGGGUUAAGUCCCGCAACGAACGCAACCCUUGUCCUGUGUUGCCAGCGCGUAAUGGCGGGGACUCGCAGGAGACUGACGAGGUCCAACUCGGAAGAAGGUGGGGGACGACGGUCAAGUCAUUCAUGCCCCUUAUUGUCCAGGGCUGUCACACAUGGCUUACAAUGGACGGUACAGAGGGCUGGCGAUAACGUGAGCUGGAGCGAAUCCCAUAAAGCAGAGUCUCAGUUCGAAUCGGGGACUGGCUAACUAAGACCCCGCUGUACAGGUCUCGAGUCGCUAGUAAUCGCAGAUCAGCAACUAUGCGGUGAAUACGUUCCCGGUCCUUGUACACACCUCCCGUCAAGUC
RNAcentral lists this ribosomal RNA (1312 nucleotides) under Rhodococcus sp. 91_20. RNAcentral's name for it is "bacterial SSU rRNA". It matches the Rfam family "Bacterial small subunit ribosomal RNA", at positions 106 to 1403 of the family's 1533-position model. Lineage: Bacteria; Bacillati; Actinomycetota; Actinomycetes; Mycobacteriales; Nocardiaceae. The record is from RNAcentral.